UACGAAGGGGGCUAGCGUUGCGCGGAAUCACUGGGCGUAAAGAGCACGUAGGCGGACUCUUAAGUCGGGGGUGAAAUCCUGGAGCUCAACUCCAGAACUGCCAUCGAUACUGAGAGUCUUCGAGUUCGGGAGAGGUGAGUGGAACUGCGAGUGUAGAGGUGAACUUCGUAGAUAUUCGCAAGAACACCAGUGGCGAAGGCGGCUCACUGGCCCGAUACUGACGCUGAGGUGCGAAAGCGUGGGGAGCAAACAGG
Molecule: ribosomal RNA, 254 nt
Filed under: uncultured bacterium
Lineage: Bacteria
Description: partial 16S ribosomal RNA
Rfam family: Bacterial small subunit ribosomal RNA
Source: RNAcentral